AGAGUUUGAUCAUGGCUCAGAGCGAACGCUGGCGGCGUGCUUAACACAUGCAAGUCGAGUGCGCGUCUGUAGCAAUACAGAUGGCGCACGGCGCACGGGUGCGUAACACGUGGGUAAUCUGCCCUUCGAAGGGGAAUAACUCGCCGAAAGGCGAGCUAAUUCCGCAUAACAUUCCGAGAACCUUGGUUUUUGGAUUCAAAGGCGUAAGUCGUCGGAGGAGGAGCCCGCGCACGAUUAGCUAGUUGGUAGGGUAACGGCCUACCAAGGCUAUGAUCGUUAGCUGGUCUGAGAGGAUGGCCAGCCACACUGGAACUGAGACACGGUCCAGACUCCUACGGGAGGCAGCAGUGGGGAAUCUUGCACAAUGGGCGAAAGCCUGAUGCAGCGACGCCGCGUGGGGGAUGAAGCUUCUCGGAGUGUAAACCCCUUUCGACCCGGACGAAUGCCCCGCAAGGGGACUGACGGUACGGGUAUAAGAAGCCCCGGCUAACUACGUGCCAGCAGCCGCGGUAAGACGUAGGGGGCCAGCGUUGCUCGGAAUUACUGGGUGUAAAGGGUUCGUAGGCGGUGUGGCAAGUCGGGAGUGAAAUCUCUGGGCUCAACCCAGAGUCUGCUUCCGAAACUGCUGUGCUUGAGUGUGGGAGAGGCGCGUGGAAUUGCAGGUGUAGCGGUGAAAUGCGUAGAUAUCUGCAGGAACACCCGUGGCGAAAGCGGCGCGCUGGACCACUACUGACGCUGAGGAACGAAAGCUAGGGGAGCAAACAGGAUUAGAUACCCUGGUAGUCCUAGCCCUAAACGAUCAGGACUUGGGGUGCCACCCGUUCGGGUGUCGUCCCGGAGCUAACGCGUUAAGUCCUGCACCUGGGGAGUACGGUCGCAAGACUGAAACUCAAGGAAUUGACGGGGGCCCGCACAAGCGGUGGAACAUGUGGUUCAAUUCGACGCUACGCGA
RNAcentral lists this ribosomal RNA (952 nucleotides) under uncultured bacterium. RNAcentral's name for it is "bacterial SSU rRNA". It matches the Rfam family "Bacterial small subunit ribosomal RNA", at positions 8 to 964 of the family's 1533-position model. The record is from RNAcentral.